AGAAGCUUAGGAUACCAGUAGUCCAAGGGCCUUCAAAGCCCUAAGCGGGGGUGUAAAUCCUCCAGCUCCUG
RNAcentral lists this transfer RNA (71 nucleotides) under Kali macrura. Its description in RNAcentral is "tRNA-Trp". It matches the Rfam family "tRNA". From Rfam's summary of the family: Transfer RNA (tRNA) molecules are approximately 80 nucleotides in length. Their secondary structure includes four short double-helical elements and three loops (D, anti-codon, and T loops). The record is from RNAcentral. Lineage: Eukaryota; Metazoa; Chordata; Actinopteri; Scombriformes; Chiasmodontidae.